Molecule: non-coding RNA, 265 nt
Filed under: Virgibacillus necropolis
Lineage: Bacteria; Bacillati; Bacillota; Bacilli; Caryophanales; Bacillaceae
Description: T-box sequence
Rfam family: T-box leader
About the family: Uncharged tRNA acts as the effector for transcription antitermination of genes in the T-box leader family. T-boxes are found upstream of many aminoacyl-tRNA synthetase genes and some amino acid biosynthetic genes usually in Gram-positive bacteria.
Source: RNAcentral
UUAACCGCAAUGAUGAGGAAAGUAAAUCAACCGCAUUUUCUAAAAGAGAGCUUCGGUAGCUGAAAGGAAGCAGGAAAUUGUUGAUUGAAAAUGGCCUUGGAGCUACAAAAUCGACUUUCAUUUGUAAAUUAGAUUUUGACGAGAUUUGGCACUCGUUAUAAAUGUCAAAGUAUAAGAGUGUUCAUUCACUCCGUACUUACUGAGGCUAAUAAUGCAAGUUAUUAGUAAAUUAAGGUGGUAACACGAGAUAUACCUCGUCCUUAGA